AGAGUUUGAUCCUGGCUCAGAACGAACGCUGGUGGCGUGUUUUAUACAUGCAAGUCGAGCGAGGACGGUAGCAAUACCGAGCCGAGCGGCGAACGGGUGAGUAACGCGUAAGCAAUCUGCCCCACAAUCGGGAACAACCGUGCCAACGCGCGGCUAAUGCCGGAUAUUGUAGUCUACUGCAUAGUAGGCCAACGAAAGAUUUAUUGUUGUAGGAUGAGCUUGCGUCCGAUUAGCUAGUUGGCGGGGUAAUAGCCCACCAAGGCGACGAUCGGUAGCCGGCCUGAGAGGGUGAUCGGCCACAUUGGGACUGAGAUACGGCCCAGACUCCUACGGGAGGCAGCAGUAGGGAAUAUUGCGCAAUGGGGGGAACCCUGACGCAGCAACGCCACGUGUGGGAAGAAGCAUUUCGGUGUGUAAACCACUGUCGGAAAGGAAUAACGGAAGACUUCGGUCUUUAUGAAUGUACUUUUAGAGGAAGCACCGGCAGACUUCGUGCCAGCAGCCGCGGUAAUACGAGGGGUGCAAGCGUUGUUCGGAAUCACUGGGCGUAAAGGGAGCGUAGGCGGAAGUGCAAGCAAUCUGUAUAAUCCUGGGGCCCAACCCCAGUUCUGCAGAUUGGACUGUAUUUCUUGAAUAGUUCAGAGGCAAGCGGAAUUUCUGGUGUAGCGGUGGAAUGCGUAGAGAUCAGAAAGAACACCAAUGGCGAAGGCAGCUUGCUGGGGACUUAUUGACGCUGAGGCUCGAAAGUGUGGGUAGCAAACAGGAUUAGAUACCCUGGUAGUCCACACUGUAAACGAUGCAUACUGGGUGUCCGUAAUUGGUUUCCGGGACCGUAGCUAACGCGUUAAGUAUGCCGCCUGGGGAGUUCGUACGCAAGUAUGAAACUCAAAGGAAUUGACGGGGGCCCGCACAAGCGGUGGAGCAUGUGGUUUAUUUCGAAGCAAACGCGCAGCACCUUACCAGGGUUUGACAUGGAAUCGCCGCAGCGAGAGAUCGCUGUUUAGUAGCAAUACUUCGGUUCACACAGGUGCUGCCUGGCUGUCGUCAGCUCGUGUCGUGAGAUGUUGGGUUAAGUCCCGCAACGAGCGCAACCCACGUUUCUAGUUGCUACCCGCAAGGGAGCUCUCUAGAGAGACUGCCGGGGACAGCCCGGAGGAAGGCGUGGAUGACGUCAAGUCCUCAUGGCCCUUACAUCCUGGGCUACACACGUGCUACAAUGGUCGGUACAAUGGGUCGCAAUAUCGCGAGAUGGAGCCAAUCCCUAAAGCCGGCCU
RNAcentral lists this ribosomal RNA (1274 nucleotides) under uncultured bacterium. RNAcentral describes it as "bacterial SSU rRNA". It matches the Rfam family "Bacterial small subunit ribosomal RNA", at positions 8 to 1288 of the family's 1533-position model. The record is from RNAcentral.